AUAGCAAUCACUCCCCUAUAAUAAUAUUGCUCUACUAGCCCAAUACACGAGAGGGGACUAUAUAAGAAUCAAUGAAGCUGUCACUAUCACAAACUACCCCACGAUCUGGCAUAUUGGGUACAAUCGCAGAUAAAUACGGUAUAAGCACCACGCCUACACAAUAUCUAUCAUUUAGCCAUGGAUCCGAUGGAUAAACGCUAUACGAUCCUAAGCAUGUAUAUAAAUCCAAUCUAACUAAGCCAAGUACAUAACUAUGAUAAACUAAGAACAAUAUAAUCUUGAAUAUAAGCAAGUAGAGCAAAGUCAUAAGCAAUAUAUUGAAGUAGAACAAAGUCAUAUUCAUAAUAUUGAAGAACAGAGAUGAUUAGAAGAACAAUUAGAAGCACAAUUAGAGAAUUACCAAGAAUCCUCUUGACAGAUCCGGAAACCAAUCGAAGAUUGACUCCUUCUAGUUCUAAUCCUAUGUAGCUAUGCUAAUCUAGAUAUCUAAUUGAUGUGGUGGCUCUAAUCUUGAUCAGGGCUUCUUCUCCCUUGAGGAAUAAUGAAUUAGGGGUGAGAGGCUCUCUCCACUUGGGGCCGGGGGGUCUGGUUUUAUAGUCCCUUCAAAUGAAUAUGGACCGUUGGAUCAAACCGACAUUGAUUGAACGGUUAUCCUUGAUCCUUUAGGUCAGUGGAGAUCUUCCCCGAAACAGAGUCCUGAUUGGCUUCUGCUUCCUUCCCGUGGCUUCUGGAGUCUUCUAGAUGUAAGAUAAUUGCGCGGCACGUUAAUAUCUCUAUGUAAUCCCGACGUGUGGGCCUUUCUUCCGUAUUCCCUGAUAACCCCCUGCAGAAAUAGACAAACACCAAAACUCAUGGAAUUCUGUCAGAUAAAACCCUAAGUAUAGAUGUUGAUUUCAUUUGGAUCCUUUUCUUUGUUUAUUUGAUAAUUAAAUUUGAUAUUUAAGGACCGUCAACGAACUCCCGCAAGCUUACCUCUUGCUCGUCCCUGAGCAAGGAUAGACUCAAUAAUGGAUGAGAAGUUGUUGCAAUAUCUUUAAAAAUUGACGGUACACAUGCUUUUAAAUAAGAUCUUAUCUCUGAGUUAGAGUAAACUGUCAAGACUUAAAACUCACUUACUUUACCUUUCACCAUGGGACUUGUAACCGUCACUUCUGUCUUGAGUAGUUAAAAGAUAGAACAGUCUAGUCAACUGCCAUGUCUCUUAUUCUUGAUCAGCUAUAGCUCUGGAGUUUUUGCAGAUUUUCAAAUAAAACUCAGAGAUUCCUUGUAUGAUUCUCUCAGAUCUCUCUUUUGUGGUAUUUUUGGAUCCUUACCAAGGCAGUGAUGGUAUAUGCCUUCUCUCAAAAUAUGUAGUAUUUAUGGUAUAAGGCAUAGUGACAUUGCCUUCUCUCUCACCCUACUCUAAUAAGGCUUUAAUAUCUGGAGCUCAUAGGUGGGAGAUAAAAUAUACAUACUUACAAGACAUGUAUUGUAUAGUCAAACCAUGGAUCCAAAGAAACAAAUCAAUAAGUCAAAUCAAGAUGUGCAUGUGUGGCGAAUGAAUGGUAUAUGGUGAUGAUGGUGAUAACAAUGGUGAAAGUCUAAUUCUACUUUUGCUCUUUUGAGGGGAUACAUACCUUCCUUGCUUUCUGAAACUUUAUGAGGAGAAUGAGAUGCUCUUCUUUUUCUUUUCUCUCAGGUGGGUAUCUUGUACCCCUAAUUCUACUGUCGGACACUUGUCCAUUCUUACCUCUCGUCUCACUUUUUCUUUUCUUUCCGAGGUUCCGGGCACUUGCCCCUUUUUAUUUCCUCGUAUUAUUUUUUCUUUCUUUUUUCUUUCUUUUUUUAGAGCACUCAUCUCUUGAGAUAAUAUAGCAAGUGGUAGUAACAAGAUAACUUGAGCAUUUAUUUCACAAGGGAAAAAACAGAAAUAUUUUUGGUUAUUCUCUCCCGCAUUAGGAGUAGAAUAUUUUUGGGUGAUUCUAGAGAUGGAAAUGGAUGGAUAUAUGUGGAUGGUACUUCCGGAAUAGAAGUAGCAUGUGUGAGUGAACGUGCAAAUGAAUCUUGAUUUAACCACAUGACAAGCUCCUAAGGGUCUACACUACUUGACCACACUCAAUGCUCAUAAGUAGUAAAUAGUUAAUGUGUGGCUCAAAGUCUAGCAAUCAUGUAUAUAAGGCUGUGGUAGAAAUUUAAACUCUCAUCAUACAGGAACUCAUCAUGUAAUAUUUUAAAGAUUUUUAAAGAUAUAAUUCUCCAGAAUUCUAGCAUCUCUAGGAACAGAUAAACAGCAGCUCAACUUUCCCAUAUCAUAUCCGUUAACAACUUAGACUUCAGAUCAAGUUUUCAUCCCACAAGUUUAGGUCUAGAGCAAGCUUUAAAUUAUAACAGUUAUGUCUAACCUCGAGAGAGAAUUUUAAAUUUUAAAAAUUAAGCAGAGCAACUAUUCAUCAUAUCCAUGAUAAAGUUUAUUAUUAAGAUUCAGAUUAGCAUAGCCACUUUAUUUAUUUAUUAAGCACACUAAGCAAAAGAUAUAUAUAUUUAUAUAAGCACAAAAUCUUUAUUUCGUUUUUCCUAGUUUAUGUAUAUUUAUAUUCUAAUAUAAUAUAAGUAUAAAGAUAGGUAGAAAUACUUAUCGGGAUAAAUGGGAGUGCUCUCCCCCAAGCUAAAUUUUGACGUAAUUUCUCUUGAUGUAGCUAGCAGGUGGCAGAGGUGUAUUUGAAAGUCGGCAGCAUCCUGACAGCGAUUAGAAUGUCCUCCGUCUGCUAGUCUUCUUGAUUUUUGAAUUCUGUGGAGCUCAAAUAGACAACAAAGCUUUUGGAACUGAUUAAGUGUUAGCAUAAAUAUCUAGCCUUUAUCAUGUUGAGACUCCUAAAUAACUAUUACUCCCUAUUUUUAUAUUUUCAUUUUAUAAAGCAGAAAACAAAUAUUUAUUUUAUUUUUAUGCCACCACAGUGAAUGUACUUAUGGGUUUUAUGCCACUCGUAUACUCACAUGGGGCUUACUGUUUUAACAUUUUUAUUUUCUUUUUAGGAUAGUAUGAUUAUAAGUUAUUAAGUAAAAUAAUUGAAAGGGAAAGGAUAACUACCAAUUUACCUCUUGGCAAGGUGUUCGGUGUUUUUAAGUUCUCCGAACGGGACUCUCCAUUUUCUUCAAUUGUCAUGGGAUUCGUUGGGUGGCGUAGUCGGUACUUCCGGCGGCGCCUCUUCUUCAUGUAUAGUUAUCUUCUCUUUCCAUACCUGACUCGGUGCUUCGGUCUCCUCUAGAUAAUUCUGUUUAAACUCUACGUCUUCUGACCCUAUUACUUUUCCUUCAUAGUCUGCCCAUCCAUCCUUGAUGAUUUGUCUCCUCUGGUUGCGGUUGCGUCAUUUUCUGACCUGCUUAGAUUCUUCAACGAUAUAGUUAGGGUCAAUGAAAUAGCGGUGUACCUUCUCUGAGGGGAAGUGCAUAUGGACUUCUCCAAUUCCAAUGUAGAUGAUUGCUUUAACGGUGCUGAGGAACGGUCUUCCAAGGAUGAUGGGUGGAUCGUAUUCAUCUUCUCCCAUGUCAAUAACCUGAAAGUCUGUGUAGACAAAAUGAUCAUCUAUCUUGACUGGGACAUCAGUCACUGUUCCUUUAACCUCUCGAAAUGUCUGAUCUGCCAUCUGGAGCUAAACGUAUGUUGGUUUUAGGGGCAUGGUUCCGAACAAGAGCCGAUAGGUGACUGCGGCCAUAAUGUUGACGCCCGAUUCGGUGUCGCAAAACGUCUUGUAGAAGUUGUAUCCAUUUAUGGAGCAAUAGAUGCUUGGCAUUCCUAGGUCGUCCUUCUCUGUCAAAAAUGGUGACUUAAGUUGAUGAUCUUGACCUCCAUGAACUGCAGUGACCAUCUUAGCUGACUCGGUCCACACUUGCUUGUUCCUGUUCCUCCUAUUGGUCCUCUUUCUUGAUUCACGUCUGGACUAAUCUGGGAUUUGUGUAGUCUUGUUCUUGAAGGAAAACGUCUCCUUCCUCCCUUUGAUGUAGAAACUGAUCUUGGCAGCACUAGCGUAGAUGACAGCUCCCGAGGUGUUUAAGAAUGGCCUCCCUAAGAUGAUGGGUGCCCUCUCAUCAUUAACGGUCUCUACCACUACGAAGUCCGCUGGG
This 4101-nucleotide long non-coding RNA is filed under the name Sorghum bicolor (sorghum). RNAcentral's name for it is "long non-coding RNA (SBIC_LNC010192)". The record is from RNAcentral. Lineage: Eukaryota; Viridiplantae; Streptophyta; Magnoliopsida; Poales; Poaceae.